Molecule: transfer RNA, 75 nt
Filed under: Heyndrickxia coagulans
Lineage: Bacteria; Bacillati; Bacillota; Bacilli; Caryophanales; Bacillaceae
Description: Bacillus coagulans tRNA-Gly
Rfam family: tRNA
About the family: Transfer RNA (tRNA) molecules are approximately 80 nucleotides in length. Their secondary structure includes four short double-helical elements and three loops (D, anti-codon, and T loops).
Source: RNAcentral
ACGGAAGUAGUUCAGUGGUAGAACAUCACCUUGCCAAGGUGGGGGUCGCGGGUUCGAAUCCCGUCUUCCGCUCCA